AUAAAAACCCUCAUUGUUGGGUUUUCCUAGCUGACCAAAGGUAUACACACACAAACACAUAAAUUUAUUCUUAGAAAACCUUCUCCAUUUUUAAGUUUUUUCUUCUUCCAAUUCAAGAAUCAAAGCUAGGCGUUGAUGCAUUUCUAGUAGAAGACAGUGAGGAGUAAUGGCCAUCACUCCUUGAUAUGAAUUUCCACUAAGGUUGACUAGCACACCUGAAGCUGGAUUUGAGGUAAGAAAAGUAUUCAGAUGCACAUAUACACAUAUUUAGUUAUGCAUGUAUUAUGAUACUAUUUACCUAGUAUACUAGAGAUAGCAGUAUGGAUAUACAUAGAGUUGUAUUUAGAUACCGAUAUCUAGUCCUAGAGGGUAUCGAAUAGUAUAAAUUAAUGCUACUAACAUUAUGAUUGGAGUGUUGGGAUUAGUUUGGUAUUAUGGUUAAUCAUACUAUAAACACGAACGUAUGGAUCUGAUCAAUAUAUGCAUUGGAUGCAAUUAGUAGACUUAUGGUAACUGAGUGUAUGGAUAUAUGUUGUAUUUAUAUGUAUGAUUUUCUUACUGAGUCUGUUGACUCACAUAUACAUUGUUAUGUGUAGGUAAGGAAAAAUCCAAAGCUGAAUAGCACUGAGUUGGGAGAUUGGUGAAGAUUGUACAUAUCUACUUGUCUAGACCUGGAGGGUUGCGUUUCUCGGAACAACCACUAGCAUACUUGUGUAAAUGUCAUUAGACGAUACUUUUGCUAUCUUAUGAUGUAAAAUAUUUUGUAACUAGAUUUAUGUGAUCCCAGAUUAUAAGUAUUUGUUAAAA
This is a long non-coding RNA of Cannabis sativa, 807 nucleotides long. RefSeq lists it as uncharacterized. The transcript is spliced from 2 exons. Lineage: Eukaryota; Viridiplantae; Streptophyta; Magnoliopsida; Rosales; Cannabaceae. The record is from RefSeq and is a predicted model, not a curated record.